GACGAACGCUGGCGGCGUGCCUAAUACAUGCAAGUAGAACGCUGAAGAGAGGAGCUUGCUCUUCUUGGAUGAGUUGCGAACGGGUGAGUAACGCGUAGGUAACCUGCCUUGUAGCGGGGGAUAACUAUUGGAAACGAUAGCUAAUACCGCAUAACAAUGGAUGACACAUGUCAUUUAUUUGAAAGGGGCAAUUGCUCCACUACAAGAUGGACCUGCGUUGUAUUAGCUAGUAGGUGAGGUAAUGGCUCACCUAGGCGACGAUACAUAGCCGACCUGAGAGGGUGAUCGGCCACACUGGGACUGAGACACGGCCCAGACUCCUACGGGAGGCAGCAGUAGGGAAUCUUCGGCAAUGGGGGCAACCCUGACCGAGCAACGCCGCGUGAGUGAAGAAGGUUUUCGGAUCGUAAAGCUCUGUUGUAAGUCAAGAACGGGUGUGAGAGUGGAAAGUUCACACUGUGACGGUAGCUUACCAGAAAGGGACGGCUAACUACGUGCCAGCAGCCGCGGUAAUACGUAGGUCCCGAGCGUUGUCCGGAUUUAUUGGGCGUAAAGCGAGCGCAGGCGGUUUGAUAAGUCUGAAGUUAAAGGCUGUGGCUCAACCAUAGUUCGCUUUGGAAACUGUCAAACUUGAGUGCAGAAGGGGAGAGUGGAAUUCCAUGUGUAGCGGUGAAAUGCGUAGAUAUAUGGAGGAACACCGGUGGCGAAAGCGGCUCUCUGGUCUGUAACUGACGCUGAGGCUCGAAAGCGUGGGGAGCGAACAGGAUUAGAUACCCUGGUAGUCCACGCCGUAAACGAUGAGUGCUAGGUGUUGGAUCCUUUCCGGGAUUCAGUGCCGCAGCUAACGCAUUAAGCACUCCGCCUGGGGAGUACGACCGCAAGGUUGAAACUCAAAGGAAUUGACGGGGGCCCGCACAAGCGGUGGAGCAUGUGGUUUAAUUCGAAGCAACGCGAAGAACCUUACCAGGUCUUGACAUCCCGAUGCUAUUUCUAGAGAUAGAAAGUUACUUCGGUACAUCGGUGACAGGUGGUGCAUGGUUGUCGUCAGCUCGUGUCGUGAGAUGUUGGGUUAAGUCCCGCAACGAGCGCAACCCCUAUUGUUAGUUGCCAUCAUUCAGUUGGGCACUCUAGCGAGACUGCCGGUAAUAAACCGGAGGAAGGUGGGGAUGACGUCAAAUCAUCAUGCCCCUUAUGACCUGGGCUACACACGUGCUACAAUGGUUGGUACAACGAGUUGCGAGUCGGUGACGGCGAGCUAAUCUCUUAAAGCCAAUCUCAGUUCGGAUUGUAGGCUGCAACUCGCCUACAUGAAGUCGGAAUCGCUAGUAAUCGCGGAUCAGCACGCCGCGGUGAAAAAGUUCCCGGGCCU
RNAcentral lists this ribosomal RNA (1369 nucleotides) under uncultured bacterium. RNAcentral's name for it is "bacterial SSU rRNA". It matches the Rfam family "Bacterial small subunit ribosomal RNA", at positions 28 to 1381 of the family's 1533-position model. The record is from RNAcentral.